RNAcentral lists this ribosomal RNA (2928 nucleotides) under Bacillus anthracis str. BF1. RNAcentral's name for it is "23S ribosomal RNA". It matches the Rfam family "Bacterial large subunit ribosomal RNA". The record is from RNAcentral. Lineage: Bacteria; Bacillati; Bacillota; Bacilli; Caryophanales; Bacillaceae.
UUUGGUUAAGUUAGAAAGGGCGCACGGUGGAUGCCUUGACACUAGGAGUCGAUGAAGGACGGGACUAACGCCGAUAUGCUUCGGGGAGCUGUAAGUAAGCUUUGAUCCGAAGAUUUCCGAAUGGGGAAACCCACCAUACGUAAUGGUAUGGUAUCCUUAUCUGAAUACAUAGGGUAAGGAAGACAGACCCAGGGAACUGAAACAUCUAAGUACCUGGAGGAAGAGAAAGCAAAUGCGAUUUCCUGAGUAGCGGCGAGCGAAACGGAACAUAGCCCAAACCAAGAGGCUUGCCUCUUGGGGUUGUAGGACAUUCUAUACGGAGUUACAAAGGAACGAGGUAGACGAAGCGACCUGGAAAGGUCCGUCGUAGAGGGUAACAACCCCGUAGUCGAAACUUCGUUCUCUCUUGAAUGUAUCCUGAGUACGGCGGAACACGUGAAAUUCCGUCGGAAUCUGGGAGGACCAUCUCCCAAGGCUAAAUACUCCCUAGUGAUCGAUAGUGAACCAGUACCGUGAGGGAAAGGUGAAAAGCACCCCGGAAGGGGAGUGAAAGAGAUCCUGAAACCGUGUGCCUACAAAUAGUCAGAGCCCGUUAAUGGGUGAUGGCGUGCCUUUUGUAGAAUGAACCGGCGAGUUACGAUCCCGUGCGAGGUUAAGCUGAAGAGGCGGAGCCGCAGCGAAAGCGAGUCUGAAUAGGGCGUUUAGUACGUGGUCGUAGACCCGAAACCAGGUGAUCUACCCAUGUCCAGGGUGAAGUUCAGGUAACACUGAAUGGAGGCCCGAACCCACGCACGUUGAAAAGUGCGGGGAUGAGGUGUGGGUAGCGGAGAAAUUCCAAUCGAACCUGGAGAUAGCUGGUUCUCCCCGAAAUAGCUUUAGGGCUAGCCUUAAGUGUAAGAGUCUUGGAGGUAGAGCACUGAUUGGACUAGGGGUCCUCAUCGGAUUACCGAAUUCAGUCAAACUCCGAAUGCCAAUGACUUAUCCUUAGGAGUCAGACUGCGAGUGAUAAGAUCCGUAGUCAAAAGGGAAACAGCCCAGACCGCCAGCUAAGGUCCCAAAGUGUGUAUUAAGUGGAAAAGGAUGUGGAGUUGCUUAGACAACUAGGAUGUUGGCUUAGAAGCAGCCACCAUUUAAAGAGUGCGUAAUAGCUCACUAGUCGAGUGACUCUGCGCCGAAAAUGUACCGGGGCUAAAUACACCACCGAAGCUGCGGAUUGAUACCAAUGGUAUCAGUGGUAGGGGAGCGUUCUAAGGACAGUGAAGUCAGACCGGAAGGACUGGUGGAGUGCUUAGAAGUGAGAAUGCCGGUAUGAGUAGCGAAAGACGGGUGAGAAUCCCGUCCACCGAAUGCCUAAGGUUUCCUGAGGAAGGCUCGUCCGCUCAGGGUUAGUCAGGACCUAAGCCGAGGCCGACAGGCGUAGGCGAUGGACAACAGGUUGAUAUUCCUGUACCACCUCUUUAUCGUUUGAGCAAUGGAGGGACGCAGAAGGAUAGAAGAAGCGUGCGAUUGGUUGUGCACGUCCAAGCAGUUAGGCUGAUAAGUAGGCAAAUCCGCUUAUCGUGAAGGCUGAGCUGUGAUGGGGAAGCUCCUUAUGGAGCGAAGUCUUUGAUUCCCCGCUGCCAAGAAAAGCUUCUAGCGAGAUAAAAGGUGCCUGUACCGCAAACCGACACAGGUAGGCGAGGAGAGAAUCCUAAGGUGUGCGAGAGAACUCUGGUUAAGGAACUCGGCAAAAUGACCCCGUAACUUCGGGAGAAGGGGUGCUUUCUUAACGGAAAGCCGCAGUGAAUAGGCCCAAGCGACUGUUUAGCAAAAACACAGCUCUCUGCGAAGCCGUAAGGCGAAGUAUAGGGGGUGACACCUGCCCGGUGCUGGAAGGUUAAGGAGAGGGGUUAGCGUAAGCGAAGCUCUGAACUGAAGCCCCAGUAAACGGCGGCCGUAACUAUAACGGUCCUAAGGUAGCGAAAUUCCUUGUCGGGUAAGUUCCGACCCGCACGAAAGGUGUAACGAUUUGGGCACUGUCUCAACCAGAGACUCGGUGAAAUUAUAGUACCUGUGAAGAUGCAGGUUACCCGCGACAGGACGGAAAGACCCCGUGGAGCUUUACUGUAGCCUGAUAUUGAAUUUUGGUACAGUUUGUACAGGAUAGGCGGGAGCCUUUGAAACCGGAGCGCUAGCUUCGGUGGAGGCGCUGGUGGGAUACCGCCCUGACUGUAUUGAAAUUCUAACCUACGGGUCUUAUCGACCCGGGAGACAGUGUCAGGUGGGCAGUUUGACUGGGGCGGUCGCCUCCUAAAGUGUAACGGAGGCGCCCAAAGGUUCCCUCAGAAUGGUUGGAAAUCAUUCGUAGAGUGCAAAGGCAUAAGGGAGCUUGACUGCGAGACCUACAAGUCGAGCAGGGACGAAAGUCGGGCUUAGUGAUCCGGUGGUUCCGCAUGGAAGGGCCAUCGCUCAACGGAUAAAAGCUACCCCGGGGAUAACAGGCUUAUCUCCCCCAAGAGUCCACAUCGACGGGGAGGUUUGGCACCUCGAUGUCGGCUCAUCGCAUCCUGGGGCUGUAGUCGGUCCCAAGGGUUGGGCUGUUCGCCCAUUAAAGCGGUACGCGAGCUGGGUUCAGAACGUCGUGAGACAGUUCGGUCCCUAUCCGUCGUGGGCGUAGGAAAUUUGAGAGGAGCUGUCCUUAGUACGAGAGGACCGGGAUGGACGCACCGCUGGUGUACCAGUUGUUCUGCCAAGGGCAUAGCUGGGUAGCUAUGUGCGGAAGGGAUAAGUGCUGAAAGCAUCUAAGCAUGAAGCCCCCUCAAGAUGAGAUUUCCCAUAGCGUAAGCUAGUAAGAUCCCUGAAAGAUGAUCAGGUUGAUAGGUUCGAGGUGGAAGCAUGGUGACAUGUGGAGCUGACGAAUACUAAUAGAUCGAGGACUUAACCAUAUAA